Molecule: ribosomal RNA, 497 nt
Filed under: uncultured bacterium
Lineage: Bacteria
Description: partial 16S ribosomal RNA
Rfam family: Bacterial small subunit ribosomal RNA
Source: RNAcentral
GACGAACGCUGGCGGCGUGCCUAAUACAUGCAAGUUGAACGCUGAAGGCUUGUUCUUGUGCCAACCUGGAGUGGCGCGCACGGGUGUGUAACGUGAGUGGACUGCCCUUUUCUUUGGGGGAAAACCUUUGGAAAAGGAUUCUUACAGCGUAUAAAAACCUUAAACACAAGGUUUUAUGUUGAAAUACGGCAUUUCAUCACUCAAACACGGCUUCUCGUUGUAUUAGUUAGUUGGUGGGGUAAAAGGUCACCAAGGCGUAGAUACAUAGACGACCUGAGCGGGUGAUCGGCCACAUUGGGACGGAGACACGGCCCAAACGCAUACGGGAGGCAGCAGUAGGGAAUCUUCGGCAAUGGACGAAAGUCUGACCGAGCAACGCCGCGUGAGGGAAGAGGGUUUUCGGAUCGUAAAACUCUGUUGGUAGAGAAGAACGUUGGUGAGAGUGGAAAGCUCAUCAAGUGACGGUAACUACCCAGAAAGGGACGGCUAACUACGUG